Molecule: long non-coding RNA, 804 nt
Organism: Pezoporus flaviventris
Lineage: Eukaryota; Metazoa; Chordata; Aves; Psittaciformes; Psittacidae
Exons: 3
Source: RefSeq, a predicted model, not a curated record
UUCUCCAAAUCUCUGUGCAUUACUGCUUUGUCUCCAGUCGAUUCCAGAUAAAAUGAAGGAAAUGUGUCUCAGAGGAGUGAAGAGGUGUGUGCUGACACCAUCUUUUCUGAGCAAUGCCUCAGAGAUUAGCUCAGACUUUAUCCCUUCCCUAACAGCAGCACUGGUUGUAGGCAACAUUCACAGUAGCCCAGACCUAUGGGUUUGAUCUGCUUAAACUGUAAUUUGUACAACCCACUUUGGGAAGAACGGUAUGUCUUCCUGGAAAACACUCCAUUUCCCUUCCCUUCUCAAAGGCACACUGGUGAGGAGGUGACUAAAUGCUGCCACAGGAGGGAGAAAAACAAACAGGAAAGAAUUAAAAGGCCUUCGGAUAGGGCUGGAAAGCAAAAGGCAUAAAUUAUUCAGCUCUUCCCCUCCCUGAACCCUCUCGCAGCCAGCACAUGCACACCACCUCCCUUCUGGACGAGCCUUUGGCAUGAGCAGCGGAUCGCACUAAUGCUCCAUCCCAUUCCGCAGCGGAGCAGCGCUUGGCAGGAGGAGGCAGGAGACUCCCUCAGGAGAACUUUGUGAGAACAUAGCUGCACAGCUGAACUAGGACAUCAGUGCUGCUGAUUAGGAAAUACACUGCUCCCAAAACAGCCCCCUGGAGCUGGGUGUACAAGCACAGCAUGGAGAAGGCAGGAAAAUGAACCCACAUGGAAUGCUCUGAGAAUUUACAGACUGCUCCUCAGAAUGGCACAAAAACAACACAUACACUGUUUUCUCUGGGACUGGACAGCCUAGGAUCUCUUUUUCUCUUUCAAA